RNAcentral lists this ribosomal RNA (253 nucleotides) under uncultured bacterium. RNAcentral describes it as "partial 16S ribosomal RNA". It matches the Rfam family "Bacterial small subunit ribosomal RNA", at positions 524 to 776 of the family's 1533-position model. The record is from RNAcentral.
AACGUAGGUGGCGAGCGUUAUCCGGAUUUACUGGGCGUAAAGGGUGUGCAGGCGGGCGACCAAGUGGUGUAUGAAAUCUCCCAGCUAAACUGGGAUAGGUUAUGCCAGACUGGUGGUCUAGAGUGCGAGAGAGGGGCGUGGAAUUCCGGGUGUAGUGGUGAAAUCCGUAGAUCUACGAAGGAACGCCAAAAGCGAAGGCAGCUCUCUGGGUCCCUACCGACGCUGGGGUGCGAAAGCAUGGGGAGCGAACAGG